RNAcentral lists this ribosomal RNA (380 nucleotides) under uncultured eukaryote. Its description in RNAcentral is "partial 18S ribosomal RNA". It matches the Rfam family "Eukaryotic small subunit ribosomal RNA", at positions 592 to 976 of the family's 1831-position model. The record is from RNAcentral.
CAAUAGCGUAUAUUAAAGUUGUUGCAGUUAGAACGCUCGUAGUCGGAUUUCGGGGCGGGCCGACCGGUCUGCCGAUGGGUACGCACUGGUCGGCGCGUCCUUCCUUCCGGAGACCGUGCCUACUCUUAACUGAGCGGGGGCGGGAGACGGAUCGUUUACUUUGAAAAAAUCAGAGUGUUUCAAGCAGGCAGCUCGCUCUUGCAUGGAUUAGCAUGGGAUAAUGAAAUAGGACUUUGGUGCCAUUUUGUUGGUUUCGAACACCGAAGUAAUGAUUAAAAGGGACAGUCAGGGGCACUCGUAUUCCGCCGAGAGAGGUGAAAUUCUCAGACCAGCGGAAGACGAACUACUGCGAAAGCAUUUGCCAGGGAUGUUUUCACUGA